Long non-coding RNA from Gavialis gangeticus (Gharial), 1221 nucleotides. RefSeq lists it as uncharacterized. NCBI's taxonomy places the organism in Eukaryota, Metazoa, Chordata, Crocodylia, Gavialidae. The record is from RefSeq and is a predicted model, not a curated record. The transcript has 2 exons.
CAGGCCAGAUAGAAUUUUGCCCACCCCUGUCCUAAGCCAUGCAGCAUCAGAGCUACGGCCACUUCUGGGCUGAAGGGCAGCAGCUAUGUAGUCCACAGGUAUGCAGCUUAGAUGUGAACUCCAGCUGCACUGCAAAAAGGAACGUGAAACAUCUGACCAAGGAUGUGGGCAAAUAUUCACCCUUAUGAGAGCACAACAGUUCAGUAAGGGCUGAAAAGGACCUCAGCCAAUGCCACGAGAUUAAAAAAGCCUUUUUUGGGUAGCGAACCUUCAGGACAAAUAAUCACAUCAGAAUGUUCAUCGUGAUACCAGUACUACAUUUUCAUGGCUGUGCUACAAAAGCACAAUCUGCUUUUACAAAGCAUGAAAGAGAUUGAGAUGUUUGGGAAAUAUUUCACUUUGUAGAGAACAGACCUGUUUUAAAGGGUUCAGGGUACAUUCCUCUUGAAGAGGGAGGGAAAGACUAGGACCCUAACAGCACAUUGUUCAUGAGGGAGCCAUUUCAUUUUUACUAGAAUUUAUUGGAACAUUGAUCCACACAUUUUAAAACCUGAUUUUGUACAAGCUCGGAGAUUCUAAAUUGUUUUAAGAAACUACAUAUUGAUGUUGAAUUCAAUACAAAUGCCCCUUUGGAUCUUCCUGGUUUGAUAUCAGCUCCUAGUUCAAAAUGCUGAUCUCACUUUCAAAAUGCCAUGAGAGGAACUAUUGCAGGGAGAUGUUUUUGCCAUUGUUUUUAGAACUCUCCCUGGUGGGUACUAGGGGUUUAAGAAUAUUUUUUGCAUACUUUCUAUUGCAUUAAAUAGACCCUUUUAAACCCUGGACAACCAGGUUUUUCCUUUUCUUUUUGGCAGACAAUUACAGUGCUAAGUACUCAUACUGUUUGUCUGAUGAAAUCCUUCCCUUGUAGGUUAGCAUCCAACCCUUUAAGACAUUAACAGUACACAGUAAUAACUUCUAAUUAACAAGUUAUGGGGAACUGAAUAUAAAUGCCAUUCUGUUUCCCUUUCCAAGUAUGCAGGUACCUUCUCUGUUAAAGCCUGCUCCUCCUUCCCCCAGAAAAAACACCCUACUGCAGCUAAAACUUGCAUAAUGGCUUCUCUCUCUAGGUACUUAAUUCCCCUCCAAGGAUUUCCAGCUAUAAUGAAUUCAGAAUCAUUUUGCUGUGCCACAUGUUAUGGAUUUGUGCCAGUGCUGCUAUUAGCUGCAGUGCAAAGUACUUGG